GAUGAACGCUGGCGGCGUGCCUAAUACAUGCAAGUAGAACGCUGAAGGAGGAGCUUGCUCUUCUGGAUGAGUUGCGAACGGGUGAGUAACGCGUAGGUAACCUGCCUGGUAGCGGGGGAUAACUAUUGGAAACGAUAGCUAAUACCGCAUGACAACAGUUAUUGCAUGAUAACUGUUUAAAAGGGGCAACUGCUCCACUACCAGAUGGACCUGCGUUGUAUUAGCUAGUUGGUGAGGUAACGGCUCACCAAGGCGACGAUACAUAGCCGACCUGAGAGGGUGAUCGGCCACACUGGGACUGAGACACGGCCCAGACUCCUACGGGAGGCAGCAGUAGGGAAUCUUCGGCAAGGGACGGAAGGCUGACCGAGCAACGCCGCGUGAGUGAAGAAGGGUUUCGGAUCGUAAAGAUCGGUUGUAAGAGAAGAACGAGUGUGAGAGUGGAAAGUUCACACUGUGACGGUAUCUUACCAGAAAGGGACGGCUAACUACGUG
This 495-nucleotide ribosomal RNA is filed under the name uncultured bacterium. Its description in RNAcentral is "partial 16S ribosomal RNA". It matches the Rfam family "Bacterial small subunit ribosomal RNA", at positions 28 to 507 of the family's 1533-position model. The record is from RNAcentral.